This 492-nucleotide ribosomal RNA is filed under the name uncultured bacterium. Its description in RNAcentral is "partial 16S ribosomal RNA". It matches the Rfam family "Bacterial small subunit ribosomal RNA", at positions 29 to 507 of the family's 1533-position model. The record is from RNAcentral.
AGUGAACGCUGGCGGUAGGCCUAACACAUGCAAGUCGAACGGCAGCACAGUAAGAUCUUGCUAUUACUGGUGGCGAGUGGCGGACGGUUGAGGAAUACAUCGGAAUCUACUUUUUCGGGGGGGAUAACGUAGGUAAACUUACGCUAAUACCGCAUACGGCCUACGUUUGAAAGCAGAGGAUCUUCGGACCUUUCGCGAUUGAAUGAGCCGAUGUCGGAUUAGCUAGUUGGCGGGGUAAAGGCCCACCAAGGCGACGAUCCGUAGCUGGUCUGAGAGGAUGAUCAGCACCACUGGAACUGAGACACGGUCAAGAAUACUACGGGAGGCAGCAGUGGGGAAUAUUGGACAAUGGGCGCAAGCCUGAUACAGCCAUCCCGCGUGGGUGAAGAAGGCCUUCGGGUUGUAAAGACCUUUUGUUGGGAAAGAAAAGCAGUAGGUUAAUACCCAGCUGUUCUGACGGUACCCAAAGAAUAAGCACCGGCUAACUUCGUG